This 326-nucleotide long non-coding RNA is filed under the name Linum usitatissimum (flax). RNAcentral describes it as "long non-coding RNA (LUSI_LNC002333)". Lineage: Eukaryota; Viridiplantae; Streptophyta; Magnoliopsida; Malpighiales; Linaceae. The record is from RNAcentral.
UUUCCUUCUUUACAAAAAACCCGGCGACGCUACUGACUAUUAUAUUGACUCCUUCUCAGCUAUCAUUCCCAUAUUUCUCCCUCCCUUUGCAGUUGCACGACAACCGUUCCACGAAAUUCCCCUGAGAAUAAACCACAAAUUGCUAAUAUCUAUAUUCCAAUGGCGCUCCCUAACUUUACUGCUCUCCGCGACUUGCACAACUCGGCCAACGACCUCCUGGGCUCACCGGACCUCAUCCAGCGAGUAAUCAUCGGUCACAACAAGAGCCACGACGAUUCCUCCAAAUUCCUGUUCCAAGCAUCGGAGGCAUCUCUCCGAAUGCUGGA